AGAGAUUGUGCCACUUCACUCCAGCCUGGGUGACAGGGUGAGACUCUUCCUCAAAAAAAAUAGUUGAAUAGAUGAUUUAUGAUAUAGUCAUAUAAUAAAUAAAUACUAUACAACAAUGAGAAUAAUUGACCUACAGCUAAACACAAAAAUAUUGACCAAUCUUGCAUUUACUCAAUCUUAUAUUUACGCAAUCUACUAUUGAGUAAAGGGCACUGGAUACUAAAAAAUACAUAUUUUAUGAUUUCAUUUAUAUAAAGUACCAAAACAGGAUAGUAAUCUUCAUGAGCUUAGGAGGUGGUGGUAGUCUCUGCUUGGGAGCAUGACAAGGGCUUCAUGGCAACUGUUAUAUUCUGAAUUUUCUUUCAGUGCUGGCAUUCUGGAUAUGUUUCAUUUGUGCAAAUACAUAGAGCUAUAUAUUUAUGAUGCCCACUUUUCUACAUGUGUAUUUAUGCUCCAAAGUAGUUUACUUAAGUCAUCUAACAAUAUCUAGAAAUAAGUCUAACAAAAUAUGCAAGGACUAUACACCAUGAACUAUGCAGUAUUUCUGAGAGAAUUAAAAGGGCUAAUAAAUGGUAGGACAUGUCAUGAUUAGGGAUUGGAAGACUGAUUAUUUUAUGAAUCUCAUUUCUCCACAAAUUUAUCUAUAGAUUGAAUGUAAUUGCAAGACUCAUACAUAGAACGAGUUGAUUUAUAGAAACUAUAGUGAAAGGAUAAUCUUUUCAAUAAACGGUGUUAGUAUCAUGGGAUUCUUGGGUUAUCACUUCACCAGCUGGAAACCUCUGUGGCCAGUGGAUCCUUUGCCUGAGUUUUUCUUGGGCUCACUGGGCUUGUUUCACCCCUUCAGUCUGGCAGGCUGCGCUUGGCUUACGCUACCCUCCUGGAUCCCGUGCCUGCCAAGAGUGAGCUGAGUGGGGAGGGGUGUGUGAAUGAGUGAGCAUGGGGCCCAGCCACUGCUCAUAGCCAGGCAUGCUGGCUGUGGCAGGGUGGGCAGCUCCAGGCACUGGCAUGGGCGCUGGCUCCCUGCGAGGCUGAAACUGGACCAGGCGAACCAUAAGCAGCUUCCAUGGCUGGCACCAGGGAAUGCGGUGGUGCCCAGAAGCUUGGAAUCACCAGAAAGUGUGAAGCCCCAAAGAGGUUAUCACAGCCCUGGUUUGGGGAACUUCUAGGUCUGGGAUCCCCAAAGGGCCACAGCUCUUCUCUCCUUCUCUCUUCUCUCCUUCUCUCUUCUCUCCUUCUCUCUUCUCUCCUUCUCUCUUCUCUCCUUCUCUCCUUCUCUCUUCUCUCCUUCUUGUUGCCCACAACAUGGUGAGCAAGGGGGGUGUUUCAGCCUUGUUUGUGUUACAGCUCUUUCAGCUCUGCCAUUUGGCAAGUCCCUAGUUUUUGUCCUGUGUCCAGGAAGAAUGAGGUACCUAGACAAGUGGAGGGUGAGCAAGAUAAAGACGAGCUUUUUUGAGCAGUAGAACAGCUCAGAGGAAACCCACAGUGGGUAGCUUCUCUCCUCAACUGGGAUGUCCUGAUGAGUGUUCAGCUCUCAGCAGAGAGGAGACCCUGGAGUAGGUAGCUCCUAUCUGCAGCUGGUAGUCCCAAUGUCUGCUCAGCUCUCAGCAGAGAGGAGAACCCAGAGGGGGUAGCUCCUCUCCACAGGCAGGUCAUUCUGUCAUCUCCUCAAGUCUGGCUGAGCCCAGGGUUUUUAUGGGCUUCAGCGGGGAGGAAGUGUGUGCUGAUUGGUCCAUGGGUGGCCAUGGGUGGGCCUGGAAAAGGCAACAUAAGUUCCCACUCUAGUCUGCAGGACUGGCAGCCCAGCUCCCAGGCUUCAGGCCUUCCCUGGCUUGAAGGUGGGGCUUCACCAAGGGCCUACCUGUUUCCACCCUGGAGCCUGUCUGCCUCCUGCUGCUGCUUAUGUAACCCAGGCUUUUACUGCUGAGGGGUGCCUAUAAGCCAGCAUUGAGCUGCCCUCAGCCCGGCCUCAGCCUCCCUCUGGUGCUCGGUGGUGCACAAAGUCUAGACGGGGACAAGGCAGCAGGGGCUAGUGUGUCAGGGCUGCCCUAAGUGUGUGCACACCUGGCCAGGUUGCAAUAGUACCUAGUCUUGGCCUCAAUUUUGCUCCAGAUCAGAGCAGGCACAGGAACAGAGAGAGGCCAGGAAACAGGAGCAGGCAUUUCCAAGCCUGCUGGGACAAGAGGGACUUCCUGGGCCCCUGGGAGUGCAGAGAUGCCUGGGUGUGCAGCUGCAGCUUGGGUGGCUGCAGCUGCGGCUUGGGUGGCUGCAGCUGCAGCUUGGGUGGCUGCAGCUAUGCCUGGAGCUCAUGCCUGCUCCCACUCCUCAAGAGCACAGGGAUGUCCAGGCUUGGAGCCAUGGCUGGGCAGCUGCAGCUGCGCCCAGGGAGCAUGAGGCUCCUGCCCUGCCAACUCAGGAGCGGGCUGGCCUUCCACCUGUUUCUGGCUCCCUCCGGCUCCAUGGAGCAUGCAACCCUGGCCACACCUCCCCAGUGAAGCCAGUGUCAUGGCAGCAGCCACUCUAGAUGGGCCAUGGCUGCCAUCAUUAGGGCUUUACUAUACACAUGUUAAAAAGUAAUUAAACGUGGUUUCUACCCUCCUGACAUUAAAAACUGAUCAAUUCCAGAUGGAUUAUAGAUAUAGUUGUGGAAGACAAAACAAUCAAACUUUUAGAAAAAAGUCAAAGACAUUAUUUUCAGGUUUUCCAAGUUGGGAAAUGUGAUACAAAACUAUUCAGUUUAAAUAAAAAAUCAAUACCUUUAACUAUUAAAAUUGAGGACUGCUAUUUAUCCAAAGAUACAAUGAAGAGACUGAAAGGCAAAGAUUAAAAAAAGACUAAAGAUUUAAAAAAUUAAAUAUGUAUACACACAUGAAUGGAAUAUGUGAAAAAGUCUCCAAGUAAAGAAAAAAGGACAAUUCACUAGAAAUAGAAGAAAAGUCUUAAACAGUCUCAUCCCAAAGAAGAUAUCCUAAUGAACAGUGGACAUGAACAGGGGCUCAACUUCGUUAAUUAUCUCUCAUUCUCAAGGAAAAGCAAAUUAGACUGUGAAUAAAAUCUCCAUGUACCCACUAGGAUGACUACAAUUCAAAAGGCUGACCUAUCCAGGUGAAGAUGAGAGUGUGCAGCAUUGGAAAUUCUUACACAUUGCUGGAGAUUUAGAAGCUAAAGAAAGAGGACAAAUGAUUUGGAAGCAAAGAUAAGAAGGAAGAAGGAGAUGGGGUCUCGCCAUGUUUCCCAGGCUGGUCUCAA
This 3246-nucleotide long non-coding RNA is filed under the name Homo sapiens (human). RNAcentral describes it as "HSALNT0293663". Lineage: Eukaryota; Metazoa; Chordata; Mammalia; Primates; Hominidae. The record is from RNAcentral.